This 253-nucleotide ribosomal RNA is filed under the name uncultured bacterium. RNAcentral describes it as "partial 16S ribosomal RNA". It matches the Rfam family "Bacterial small subunit ribosomal RNA", at positions 524 to 776 of the family's 1533-position model. The record is from RNAcentral.
UACGUAGGGGGCUAGCGUUGUCCGGAAUCAUUGGGCGUAAAGCGCGUGUAGGCGGCCCGGUAAGUCCGCUGUGAAAGUCGGGGGCUCAACCCUCGAAUGCCGGUGGAUACUGUCGGGCUAGAGUACGGAAGAGGCGAGUGGAAUUCCUGGUGUAGCGGUGAGAUGCGCAGAUAUCAGGAGGAACACCCAUUGCGAAGGCAGCUCGCUGGGACGUUACUGACGCUGAGACGCGAAAGCGUGGGGAGCAAACAGG